AGGAUGAGGAUGAGGGCUUUGAGGACAUUCAGUGUCACCAUCACGUGCCUUGCAGAGAGCAGCUUCCCGUGGGAUGGCGUCCCCAUGGAGAGCGGGAGGGUUGGGGUUUUUGGGGACCGUGUGGGGCUCCCCUGCCUGGGCAUGUCACGGCUCCAAGGGUGGCUUUGUCCCGUUCCUGGUGCCCCGUGAGGUGGCACAGCCGGGAAGGGAAGCUGGAGAUGUUCCCUCCCCGCAUCUGGGGAGAAACCUCGGGCUCAGCUUCUGGGCACGGGGUGUUGUGACACUUGGUGACACCGUCCUGUUCCCAGCAGCCUUUCGGGGAAACCGCCCGCGCUGCCCUUCCUUCCCCUUCCCCUUCCCCUUCCCGAAACUCCUCUGCGGGAUCAGCCACUGUCCCCAUCCCCCCGCGGCCCCGCUGAGCCCUCGGGGGUGUCCACAGCCCCCCCAAACCCCCACGAGGGACACAAGGGAGGGAGAAUCCCUCAGGAUGAGGGCAGCGACUUCUGGAAGGGUCCGAGCAUCCGCACGGCCACCGCCACCCCCGGCCUCGUGCGGGACACGGGUCAGGAACCCCGACAGGAGCCCCAAAAUGUCCCCGUGCCACAGGAGCCCCAAAAUGUCCCCGUGCCACAGGACCCCCACGAUGUCCCCAUGCCACAGGAUCCCCACGAUGUCCCCAUGCCACAGGAGCCCCAAAAUGUCCCCAUGCCAUAGGACCCCCACGAUGUCCCCGUGCCACAGGACCCCCAAAAUGUCCUCGUGCCACAGGAGCCCCACGAUGUCCCCAUGCCACAGGAGCCCCAAAAUGUCCCUGUGCCACAGGAUCCCCGAGAUGUCCCCGUGCCACAGGAGCCCCACGAUGUCCCCGCGGCUCUGGAAGGGGCUGCAUCUCCCCGGGGCGACGCGGAUUUGCUGCGGGGCCGCGGGAGAAGGCGGCCGGCGGGGCCAGAGGUGACAUUAUCUGCCCUCCGCGCAGGGCAGGACCCCGCCUGCCAAAUUCCCUUCAGCUUUCAAGUUUAUCUAAACAAGGGUUUCGGAGCGGGAAGGCAGCGGAGCGCUCGGCAGCCGCCGAGCCCGGGUAUUUGGAUGUUUGGCUUUGCGGGGAGCUGGGCUCCAUCCGCUCUCGGCUGCGAGGUUUUCCCAGCGCCCCUGGCAAGGCAGGGCUCAGCCCCGCGCCCCUCCGGCCCCGCGCUGGUGGCCACGAGAACCCGCAGGGCAGCAGCAGCACCGGGAUGGGGCAGGAGCGGCACGCUCCGAGGGAGAUGUCCCCGCUCGUGGCAGGGGCUGGCGGAGCCCUUUGGGGUCCCUUCCCCCCCGUGGCUGAGCCCUCUGGGGUCCCUUCCCUCCCCGGACCGUUCCGUGGCCAGUGACGUCGCCAGGCGGUUGCCGCCGUUGCCACAGCAGGCCCCGAUUGCCGCGGCCUUUCACAAGCGCGGCUCCGCUGACCUCGCCCUCAGCGGAUUUGCUUGAGCAACGCCAGUGCCCGGCCCAGCCCGGCACCUCUGGCUGCUGCCGCACGGCCCGGGGGGGGGUGGGGGGUCCUGGGGGCAGCACCCCGCCUCGGGACCCCCCAAAACCCCCUGAGCCCCCGGCAGGCUCCCAGCAUCAAAACCGACGCUUCUCCGCCCUGUGUGUCCCUGGAUUUGGCACUGGCGGAUCCUCCUGGGUGGUGCUCCUGGGUGCUCCUGGAUGUUCCGGGGUGCUCCUGAUCCUCCUGGCUGCUCCUGGAUGUUCCUGGAUCCUCCUGGGUGCUCCUGAAUGUUUCUGGAUGAUCCUGGGUGGUCCUGCAUGCUCCUGGGUGCUCCUGGAUCCUCCCAGAUCCUCCUGGAUGUUCCUGGAUGAUCCUGGGUGCUCCUGGAUCCUCCCAGAUCCUCCUGGAUGUUCCUGGAUGAUCCUGGGUGCUCCUGGAUCCUCCUGGGUGCUCCUGGAUGUUCCUGGAUCCUCCCAGAUCCUCCUGGAUGUUCCUGGGUGCUCCCGGAUCCUCCUGGGUGCUCCUGUAUCUUCCUGCAUGUUCCUGGAUCCUCCUGGGUGCUCCUGGAUGAUCCUGGAUCCUCCUGGCUGCUCCUGCAUGUUCCUGAGUGCUCUUGGAUGAUCCUGGGUGCUCCUGGAUGUUCCUGGAUCCUCCUGGCUGCUCCUGGCUGCUCCUGGCUGCUCCUGGCUGCUCCUGGGUGCUCCUGGCUGCUCCUGGAUGAUCCUGGGUGCUCCUGGCUGCUCCUGGAUGAUCCUGGAUCCUCCUGGGUGCUCCUGGCUGCUCCUGGAUGAUCCUGGAUCCUCCUGGCUGCUCCUGGAUGUUCCUGAGUGCUCCUGGAUGCUCCUGGAUGAUCCUGGAUCCUCCUGGAUGAUCCUGGGUGCUCCUGGGUGCUCCUGGCUGCUCCUGGAUGAUCCUGGCUGCUCCUGGAUGAUCCUGGGUGCUCCUGGAUGCUCCUGGAUGAUCCUGGCUGCUCCUGGAUGAUCCUGGGUGCUCCUGGGUGCUGUCCCGUGCCCGUCGCCCCCGGAUCCCGGCCCGCGGUCCCGCAGGCUCACCUGCCCUCCCCUCCCGGGGCAAACAGCUCAGCCCCGGCUUUUGCUGAGCACUGUCUAAUUAUAGAUAUUAUAUUGCAAAUGGCUUUUGGGCCUGCUAAUGGUA
Vidua chalybeata is the source of this 2626-nucleotide RNA transcript. RefSeq lists it as uncharacterized. NCBI's taxonomy places the organism in Eukaryota, Metazoa, Chordata, Aves, Passeriformes, Viduidae. The record is from RefSeq and is a predicted model, not a curated record. The transcript has 3 exons.